GGAAACGCGUGGGCGUUGGUGCUGGUGCCCGCAGUCCCACACCGCAGGCGGACUGUUCCAGCAGGCCCCCAUGGCCCCACUGGGCUGCUGUAUGCGGCCAAGAAGGCUGAACGCACCUCCUGCAGCCGAAUCUCCCGGGCACUCAGAGGGCAAGCCUGGGUUUGGGGACUUCCAGUGGACUGCUACCCAUCCUGAAGACGUUGUCAGGAUGGUUUGAAGAUGAGGCGCUGGAAGACUUGGCUUCAGCCAGCCCCGGGGGGAAGGCAGGCUGUCCUCAGAGGGCUGUGGCCGGUUCCAGAGCACACUCUGCGGAGAGGACGAGUGAUUCUUCCUCCAAGGUGCCCGAGUCUGUGCUCCUGCCGGAAUCAGCUCCGUGGCCUCAUAGGCAAAGCUCCCUGUGGCUCCUGGGGAGCUCUCCGUGACCAGGGAGAAGUCCCUUCGUCUCCGAAGAUGUCUUCCCCAGUGGAGCCGUGUCCCGGGCAGGCAGACUCCUCCUCUGUGACCAGGGAGAAGUCCCUUCAUCUCGGCAGAUGUCUUCCCCAGUGGAGCCGUGUCCCGGGCAGGCAGACUCCUCCUCUGGGUCUUCCUUCUCGGAGGUGAUAUGCUUCAGAAAACUGAAGCCGCAGGAGAAAAUCUCGUCUCCUCUGCUGAGCCGACCUACCAACAUGUGCCCAAAGAGGAACCAGUCAUAGGCCACAGUUAGGUAGAGGGUCUCAGCAGGCUUCAGAGACGUGGGGAUGAGUCCAUCAGCCACGAGGAAAGGCGCAGGAGAGAGAUGAAGAGGGGUCCAUCCCAGCCUGAGACACGGUGCACAGCCACCCGCUGUCGUCAUCGCUGUUGACUGUGGAGAGCAGCAGCUUCAGGUAGCUUUGUGUCUGUUGCACCAGGUCCCCACUCUGAUACAGGCUCCAGUCAAUGUUCAGAGGGUGAGUCAGGAAUUCGGGGAUGCUCAAGGGGGCAUUGACGUAGUCCUGCUUCCAGUUAAAUAUGAGCCCUUCGGCCGUGUGAUCCCGAUCCUUAUAUUCCUUGAAGAAUUCACAGCCUGGAUACAGGAUGGAGAGGAGAGUGAAGUUGGCAUAGUGCUGGGCUUGGUCCACCUUCUCAGAGGAGGCUACAUUCAUGCCAAAUUCCACCAUGAGAUCACAGAUGUCCUUGACUGACAAGUACCAAAGUAACCUGAUGUCAUAGCCGCUGACCUUAUCAAAAAGAUGCAUGUCUCCACUUCGAAGAGCACAAUCCUCUUCUGUGACGUCCUCCACAUCUGCCCAGGAAUCAUCUGCACCCCCUGAGAAAAAAUAGUUGUAGCCAGAGCGUCCCUAGAGCUCCCCGCAUCCAGCCAGCGUGGCUGACCUGCAAAUGUGCUUGCCUCUGAACCGGGCAGACGCACCGUCCUCUGCACCUGGCCCUCUUGCUGUGGUUGAUGAGGUCUUGCAGCUGGCUCCUUGCACCGUGCUCUGAACGUGUCUUUCUCCUUCUCAGAACUCUCAUACUCCAGGAACACCGUGUGCCGGGCAUAGUGACCACAGACAUCCCCCUUCACAUUUGGAGUCACGCUGAAACACAAGUCUCAGCCCAACAGCUCCCGACAUCUCUUCUCAAU
Molecule: long non-coding RNA, 1600 nt
Filed under: Urocitellus parryii (Arctic ground squirrel)
Lineage: Eukaryota; Metazoa; Chordata; Mammalia; Rodentia; Sciuridae
Description: lncRNA (ENSUPAG00010020453.1)
Source: RNAcentral